GUAUCAGUGAUGAGAACAAUCGUCUGAGGAUAAUGAGUGACUCAUGCCAAUAGGAAUAUGGGGUCC
Neotoma lepida (desert woodrat) is the source of this 66-nucleotide small nucleolar RNA. It matches the Rfam family "Small nucleolar RNA SNORD109A". Rfam says of the family: Humans have two copies of the SNORD109 gene, SNORD109A and SNORD109B. Lineage: Eukaryota; Metazoa; Chordata; Mammalia; Rodentia; Cricetidae. The record is from Rfam.